AGUUUGAGUCAGACAUCCAACAACAACUGAGCAAAAGAAUCAUCUCAGAUCCAAGCAAUGGUGACGCGCAGAUAGAAGAGACUGAGGCCAACGACCAAAGCAAAGGACAGCAGAACUGACUGACACAGCUCAGAAAAUAUCCAAAGCUCUGGUCUUGCUCUGUCACCCACACUGGAGUGCAAUGCCACCAUCUUGGCUCACUGCAGCCUUGACCUCCUUGGGCUCAAGUGAUCCUCCUGCUUCAGCCUACCAUGUAGCUGGGACUACAGGUGUGCACCACCACACCAGCUAAUUUUUUUUUUUUUUGAGACAGAAUCUUGCUCUGUCACCCAGGCUACAGUGCGGUGGUGCGAUCUCGGCUCACUGCAAGCUCUGCCUCCCAGGUUCAAGCAAUUCUUCUGCCUCAGCCUCCCAAGUAGCUGGGACUACAGGAACCCACCACCAUGCCCAGCUAAUUUUUGUAUUUUUAGUAGAGACGGGGUUUCACCAUAUUGGCCAGGCUGGUCUUGAACUCCUGACCUCAUGAUCCGCCCGCCUCCGCCUCCCAAAGUGCUGGGAUUACAGGUGUAAGCCACCGUGCCCGAGCCCACACCAGCUAAUUUUUAACUGGGCUCAAGUGAUCCUCCCAUCUCAGCCUCACAAAGUGCUGGAAUUCCAGGCAUGAGCCACCGCACCCAGGAUGAAGCACAGAUUCUUGAACUGGUUUGUCACGGCAGUUGGUGCUGAUCACUCCAAUGAAUACAGCUUGCCUGUGCCAUGAUCUCAAUCUGGGGGCACCAGUUAA
Molecule: long non-coding RNA, 784 nt
Filed under: Homo sapiens (human)
Lineage: Eukaryota; Metazoa; Chordata; Mammalia; Primates; Hominidae
Description: non-protein coding CFLAR-AS1:31
Source: RNAcentral